UAUGGCCACUAUAGGGACACCAUAGGGACACCAUAGGGACGCCAAAGGGUCCCCAAUGCCACUAAAUGGGACCCCAAUGGGGACAGGACCACCUUGAGGACCCCCUGUGCCACCAAUGAAACCCCCCAGGGCCACUAAUGGGAUGGGACCACCUAUGGGACCCCCAGAGCCACUAAAUGGGGACCCCCAGGACAACCAAUAGGAUCCCCAUGGCCACCUUGGGAAUGGGACCACCAAUGGGACCCCCAUAGUCACCAAUGGGACCCCCAUGGCCACCAAUGGGGACAGGACCACCAAUGGGACCCCCAUAGUCACCAAUGGGACCCCCAUGGCCACCUUGGGGACCCCCAGGGCCACCAAUAGGACCCCCAGGACCACCAAUGGGACCCCCAUCUCCACCAAUGGGACCAUCAUAGUCAUUAAUGGGACCCCCAUGGCCACCAAUGGGACCCCCAUGGCCACCAAUGGGACCCCCAUAGACACCAAUGGGGACAGGACCACCAAUGGGACCCCCAUAGUCACCAAUGGGACCCCCAUGGCCACCUUGGGGACCCCCAUAGCCACCAAUGGGACCCCCAGGACCCCCAGGACCACCAAUGGGGACAGGACCACCAAUGGGACCCCCAUAGUCACCAAUGGGACCCCCAUAGCCAUUAAUGGGACCCCCAGGACCCCCAGUGGGACCCCCAUAGUCACCAAUGGGGACAGUACCACCAAUGGGACCCCCAAUGGGACCCCCAUAGUCACCAAUGGGACCCCCAUGUCCACCUUGGGGACCCCCAGGGCCACCAUGGGGGGGUGGGGGGGGUCAGGGCAGGAGCAGAUGGAACCAAUAAAGGUGCCACCAGAACUUGAUAACGUCCCCUGUGUCCUAUAGGGCGAAUAAAGGGUGUGGGGUGAGUGGGGUCGGCGAGGGG
This 917-nucleotide long non-coding RNA is filed under the name Coturnix japonica (Japanese quail). RNAcentral describes it as "lncRNA (ENSCJPG00005002849.1)". Lineage: Eukaryota; Metazoa; Chordata; Aves; Galliformes; Phasianidae. The record is from RNAcentral.